Molecule: long non-coding RNA, 1815 nt
Organism: Syngnathoides biaculeatus (alligator pipefish)
Lineage: Eukaryota; Metazoa; Chordata; Actinopteri; Syngnathiformes; Syngnathidae
Exons: 4
Source: RefSeq, a predicted model, not a curated record
CAUACUGUACAUGUUUCUUUCUUUUUCUUUUCUUUUUUCCUUUUUUGCAGCGUUCUCCAAUAUAUACUUCAUUUUUAUUCCAAUUAUUCCGGAUCCUCUGGUACUGAAAGGGCUUGAGGCUGCACGACAACCCGUCUUUGAGGGACUCUAUCCGGGUGGCUCACAAUUUACGCUGCAUCUACAUUUACAUCCUGGACCCUUGGUUUGCUGGCUCGUCAAACGUGGGCAUCAAGAGGUGGAGCUCGGGUGGCAAAUUGUGAGCGGCCUCGUAUGAAUGCCAACUCACUCCUGGCAAGUCCGACGGGCCUCAGCCCCAACCUUCGCGUUGGAUGCCUGUCUUGCCGACUUUUCUAUUUGAAGCUUGCUGAGGUGUACAUGAAGGUAAAAAGAACUGUCGGGCCAACUGCUGUGGAGGGAGUUCUUCUCUACGACUGCCACCGACAAAAUUUGUUUUGAUCAGAUGGAGCGAAAACCUGUAUGCCUCUUGAUCCCUUGAGUACAAAACCCAGAGGCACUAGCCAAACGGGCAGAAGGACGGACAGCUUUUCCUUGGAUAGAUGCACUUAUGACGCAGCUGAGACAGGAGGGUUGCAUCCACCAUUUGGCCCGAGACGCUGUAUCCUGCUUCCUUACUAGAGUAGACAUUCUGGAUCAGUUGGGAUGAAGCCGUGCAGGUGUUUGAAGAGCUGCUGUUCGAGGCAGACCGGAGUGUAAAUGCUGGCCGGUGGAUGUGACUUUCUUGCAGUUGCUUUUUUUCAGCAGUUUGCUAUUGCCCUGUGGGAUUUGGUCGACAAGCAGACUACAUAAGGUGUUUAGACUUUCUCUGCAUUUACUGUUGUAAUCACAUCUUGUCCUCAGAUGGACAUGCACGUGCUGAUGAGUAGGGCUUUGGUUUGUUAGCUAACAUCCAUCUUUGCCGCUUAUCCUCACGAGGGUCGCAGGGAGUGCUGGAGCCUAUCCCAGCUCUCAACGGGCAGGAUGCGGGGUACACCCUUAACUGGUUGCAAGCCAAUCGCAGGGCACAUAGAAACAAAUAACAGUCGCACUCACAAUCACACCUAGGAGCAAUUUUGAGUGUCCAAUUAAUGUUGCAUGUUUUUGGGAUGUGGGAGGAAACCGGAGUGCCCAGAGGAAACCCACGCAGGCACUGGGAGAAAAUGCAAACUCCACACAUGCAGGUCCGGGAUUGAACCUAGGGCUUCAGAACUGUGACCAGCUGAUCCACUAUUCCACCUGUUAGCUAACAUGAGGAAGCAAUUUCUCUUAAUAUUCUUUCACAGCGGAUGAAUAAUAUGAGUCGGUAUUAGGCAUGAGCUGAGCCAGUACCAGAUGCUCAUGGUGUGAUAUGCAUGAGGAAAAGCAUUACAGUGUUGCAAUUACAUUUCGCAAAUAUUUGGAUAAAUAAAAUCCCCCUGGUUCAAGGGGUUUGCCUCCACUGGAGCCAGGUCUGGGGGUGGGGCUCAAAGCGAAGGACCUAAUGGCCAGGCCUGCAGUCAUGGGGCUGUGCCGGGCACAGCCGUGAAAGGGUAACAUGGGUCCUCCUUCCCAUGGGCUCACCAACUGUGGGAGGGGCCAAGUGCCCCACCCCCCUCCAGCUCUUCUCGUGGAUAAAGGUUGGUUCAGAGGUUAUAAGGCCAACGUUUUGCAAACCCAAAAGCUGAUGAAACAGUGUUGUUCAUUCACAUAGGAGGAACUUUGGUUUGUGAAUGGUGAGUUACACAUCUACAUAGGGGGAAAAAAAAAAACAAUUUACAAAGUGAAAAGCUUUUAGAUGUUCAGUAUCAACACACAAUCUAUAUUCAACAAUCAACCUCC